AUUUCUAGAGAAAUGUUAGGUACCCUGAGUGCUUUUUAUCCCUCGCCCAUUGACUCUGAUUUAGUUGAGUAUGACAAGAAUGACCCAGUUUGUACAGCCAACUUUCAGAUGACCUACAAUCAAGCAAGAUGUUUCACCAUUGAAUGAUUUCAUACGACUAUCUGGAUUUCUGGCUUCUCUUGAAAACUGAACAUCUGGUUUCACCUUCCCUCCUGGCUGGGAUUGUGGCUGCCAUCCCAUUUUAGAUGGGUCACCCUUUCUCCGGUUUUCAACAUUCCCCAUCACUGCGUAUAGCUGUACUGUUCAAUAAGGUCAUGGGUGAAAUUGAAAUUCCAGACCGCCCUUCUUCGUGGCAAACCUUUAGAAAUUAGAUUGUACUAGGUCUUCUUGGAUGCUGUUGAAACCUGCUUAGUCUGUGCAAAAGUCUAGCCCAGAAGUACUGAGUUAACAGCCCGGGAGGCGAUCAUCAAGAUAAAUGUGCCACUAUCCCUCCUUCAGACUGUAAACACCAUGUGAAUAGAGAUGACUUCUGUCUACUUCCAUGAGCUCUAGAGCAUCCACAAGCUCCUUACACAUGAGACGAUCAGAGCAUCAGUGGCAACUGAAUGAGACAUGCCAGUUUGGGCUCAGGCUCCAAGAGGACACAUCCAAGUACAUCUCCACGACCAGGAGGUUCAUGCGCUUGGUCCUCUGUGCGUUAAGGGAGCUUGGGCAUUUAUCCAUGACUUUGCACACCUGGUACCCAAGCUGUGAUUUCAGGAUUCUAGGUCUUCAUCUGGAGCAAAGCUGGAGUGUGACUCCAGGGGCCCAGGAAGGCCAAUCUUCAUCCUAAGCCUCUGUAAGAAUAGGGCCAACUUGAAGCUAGUAUGUGUAACUCCGUGCAUUUUCUCCAGAGACGCUGGAACCAUAGGCUUGGCCAAAAAAAGAUGGGAUGUACUAAUCAGUGAUUUAUAACAUGCUGUCAGAAGUCCAAAGCUGCCUGGAGGUGCCCUGUACCAACUUGCUACAUAGUUUAUUGGAAAAACAUAGAUGGAUGGUUGGCACCUGGUUUCAGUUAUUAUGCCUGGUUACUUAGACUGGUUUGGGCUAUGUGACCAGAGGGAAAUAAGAUGAACAUAUGCCUUGGCUUCCCUGAGGCCCAGUUCUUCCCCAUGCACUAGGGGGUUCACGAUGCAGAGGCCGAACCAGUCCCGUGCGACUGAGGGGGGCCUUAGCAACUGCUCGUGGAUGCUGUGGAUCUUCCUGAAGUUGCUCCGAGUUUUCUUACUCUUAUUGUUCUGUAUCCUUUGCCUGUAAUAAAACCAUUCAGGGCCAGGUGCGAUGGUUCACGCCUGUAAUCCCAGCACUUCGGGAGCCCAAAGCAGAAGGAUUGCUUCAGCCCAGGAGUUCAGAACCAGCCUGGGCAACAUGGCGAGACUCUGUCUCUCUUUGAAAUAUAAAAAAAAAAAAAUUGAAAAGAAAAACCUUUCAGACCUUUUACUUUGUUGGAGUCUUGUGAGUCCUUUUGAUGAUCUGACCCAGCAUGAUUGCUGCAACCUCUCUUGAUGCUCGGCUCUAGUUCCUGGCAGUUUCCUCUUGACAUCCAGACUGUAGAAUCUUCAGGGCUCAUGGGCUCUGGCCCCUGCUUCUUAAGGAGGAGAAGGUGGAGCCAUGGGGACCUAACCCACAUCUCAUGGAGGUGACGGCAGGGCAGUGGAGCCUCAGCCUGAAGAUGAAUUGCCUAUAAUCACUGAGCAAGUUAGACGGGAAGAAAAUAAAUAUGACUUAUAAACCCAUUACCCAGAGACAACAAUGGCCCGCAUUGUAAUACACCAUCUUUUAGCCUGUUUUCUCUACAUAUAUAUUUACAUAUAAUUGAGAUGUAUUGAACACACCAUUUGAUAUCCUACUCUUUACCUCAACUUUGCAUUAUAAGCAUUAGCUGACGAUUUUUAUAAAGACUCCAUUUCUUCAUUUGUAAAAUGAGAAUAAUAGUAAUAGUGAUGAUGAUGAUAAUACCAGUACCUAUAUUAUGGGUUAUUGUGGGGAUUAGAUGAGAAAAUGUGUGGAAAAGGUUUUAGCCCGCUGUGUGGAAUAUACUAAGAGCUUAGCAAAAAAUAUUAUAAUAUAAUACUUUAAAAUCAUAAAUGGUUGCAGAGUAGUCUAUUGAGCGAAUAUGUCGUUAUUCAUAUAACUAUUCCUUUAUUGAACUUACAGGUAAU
This 2201-nucleotide long non-coding RNA is filed under the name Homo sapiens (human). Its description in RNAcentral is "HSALNT0384485". The record is from RNAcentral. Lineage: Eukaryota; Metazoa; Chordata; Mammalia; Primates; Hominidae.